AUUGAACGCUGGCGGCAGGCCUAACACAUGCAAGUCGAGCGGAUGAAGGGAGCUUGCUCCUGGAUUCAGCGGCGGACGGGAGAGUAAUGCCUAGGAAUCUGCCUGGUAGUGGGGGAUAACGUCCGGAAACGGGCGCUAAUACCGCAUACGUCCUGAGGGAGAAAGUGGGGGAUCUUCGGACCUCACGCUAUCAGAUGAGCCUAGGUCGGAUUAGCUAGUUGGUGGGGUAAAGGCCUACCAAGGCGACGAUCCGUAACUGGUCUGAGAGGAUGAUCAGUCGCACUGGAACUGAGACACGGUCCAGACUCCUACGGGAGGCAGCAGUGGGGAAUAUUGGACAAUGGGCGAAAGCCUGAUCCAGCCAUGCCGCGUGUGUGAAGAAGGUCUUCGGAUUGUAAAGCACUUUAAGUUGGGAGGAAGGGCAGUAAGUUAAUACCUUGCUGUUUUGACGUUACCAACAGAAUAAGCACCGGCUAACUUCGUG
This 484-nucleotide ribosomal RNA is filed under the name uncultured bacterium. RNAcentral's name for it is "partial 16S ribosomal RNA". It matches the Rfam family "Bacterial small subunit ribosomal RNA", at positions 30 to 507 of the family's 1533-position model. The record is from RNAcentral.